AUUCAAGGAUACAUCACACUUGAAUGAAAAAUACAUUUACUCUUUUAUUGAUCAAAUCAAUGUAUUAAGUACCAAAUUAUGUCCUAGAGUUAUUACAAUGUGUCAGCUAUAUUGAUUUUUAGGACAUACAUCUAACACUGUAGGAGAUGGAUCAUUUAUUCUUAGAUUGGUGGCCGAUUCGAUAAACAGUGUCAAGCACCUGCUCAUAAUUAACCAAUGAACAAGUCAAAAGACCCUAGAGAACCACUCGCACAGACGUAUAUCUAUAGGGUAGAAGAAGAGGCCUUUUCAAAUGUGG
This 298-nucleotide long non-coding RNA is filed under the name Elaeis guineensis (African oil palm). RNAcentral describes it as "long non-coding RNA (EGUI_LNC017455)". Lineage: Eukaryota; Viridiplantae; Streptophyta; Magnoliopsida; Arecales; Arecaceae. The record is from RNAcentral.